AAGUCGUAGGUGAACCUGCGGAAGGAUCAUUAACACGUAUCCCCCGUGCAUAUUAACCCUACUCUAAGCAAUCUCUGGUAAAUCACACAGAACAGUUUGAUUCAGAGACUUCUUUGACCGAAAGGAUAACUGAUACGAUCGUUGGCCCUCACGGUCAACGGACAAGUCUCUGGGGCUUCGGCUCCCCCUAUUUAACCCCUGGUCGGGCUUGCAAACUACAGGCCCACAAAACGAACAACUGUUAACAAUGGAUAUCUUGGUUCUC
RNAcentral lists this unclassified non-coding RNA (265 nucleotides) under fungal sp. Its description in RNAcentral is "partial internal transcribed spacer region". The record is from RNAcentral. Lineage: Eukaryota; Fungi.